RNAcentral lists this ribosomal RNA (118 nucleotides) under Bacillota bacterium. The record is from RNAcentral. Lineage: Bacteria; Bacillati; Bacillota.
UCUGGUGGCCAUAGCGGAGGGGAAACACCAGUUCCCAUCCCGAACACUUUGGUUAAGCCCUCCUGCGCCGAUGGUACUGCCCUGGCAACGGGGUAGGGAGAGUAGGUCGCUGCCAGGA